Molecule: small nucleolar RNA, 68 nt
Filed under: Pyrobaculum arsenaticum DSM 13514
Lineage: Archaea; Thermoproteati; Thermoproteota; Thermoprotei; Thermoproteales; Thermoproteaceae
Also listed under: 1 other name
Description: Pyrobaculum sRNA 201
Rfam family: Pyrobaculum sRNA 201
About the family: Has weak conservation of the canonical pseudouridylation guide sRNA features among the Pyrobaculum species.
Source: Rfam by way of RNAcentral
GCCCCUGGCGUGGGGUGUCGAGUCGCCGUGUGGGCGGCUGUGAAAACGCCCCCUCCGCGGGGCGUACA